Molecule: ribosomal RNA, 482 nt
Filed under: uncultured bacterium
Lineage: Bacteria
Description: partial 16S ribosomal RNA
Rfam family: Bacterial small subunit ribosomal RNA
Source: RNAcentral
AUUGAACGCUGGCGGCAGGCCUAACACAUGCAAGUCGAGCGGAUGAAGGGAGCUUGCUCCUGGAUUCAGCGGCGGACGGGCGAGUAAUGCCUAGGAAUCUGCCUGGCAGUGGGGGAUAACGUCCGGACACGGGCGCUAAUACCGCAUACGUCCUGAGGGCGAACGUGGGGGAUCUUCGGACCUCACGCUAUUAGAUGAGCCUAGGUCGGAUUAGCUAGUUGGUGGGGUAAAGGCCUACCAAGGCGACGAUCCGUAACUGGUCUGAGAGGCUGAUCAGUCACAGUGAAAGAGAGACACGCUACAGACUCAUGCGAGGGGCAGCAGGGGAAAAUAUUGGAAUGGGGGCGAGAGUCAGAUACAGCCAUGGCGCGUGUGAGAAGGAGGUCUUCGGAUUGUAAAGCUCUUUAUGUUGAGGAAAAGAGGAGUAAGUAAAUACCUUGGUGUUGAGAGGUUACAAACAGAAUAAGCAGGCUAUAACUGCG